GUCAUCCGACCCUUUUUUUUUCUUGCUUCUCCAAACGACGCCACCAACCGCCGCAAUAGAUCAAUAGAAAGAUAGGAAUAUCUUCCAUAUAUGAAUAGUUUUCCGGCAGCCGCCACCACCCAACCCCUCCUCGAAGACGACUUCUCCUUUUACAUCUCCUUUUUUCAGGACGACUCCGCCGCACCACCCGCUUCGCCUCCGACGUCGAUCUCCGACAUGCCCAAGGGUCGCCGUAGACGAGAAGCCGGCGCAUCCGCCUCCGGUGAUGAGAGGAGGAAGAAGCGGAAAUCGAUCGCCAAUCUGCUGACCUCCAUCGCGGCGAUCGACGCCCAGGAUGAGUCCGAGCGGCGCGAGUCCGACGAAGACUCUCGCCGCGAGCUCUCACUUCUCGAGGAGAACCACCACCGGAAGGCUGAGGUCAUGCUCGACUACUACUCCCGCCUCGAGGACAACUUCUCCGCCCUCGACGAUGACGCUGACACCCUCCGCUCCAAGCGCGUCCGAGUAGCCGCCUCUGCGGUCGCCGCUGCAGCGGCGGCGGCCUCCGCUUCCGUCGAGAACGACGCUGGCCCUGCCACUUCCGCCGCCGGAAGCGGCCACCAGCAGAGGCGGCUUUGGGUGAAGGACCGGUCGCGAGCGUGGUGGGAC
RNAcentral lists this long non-coding RNA (648 nucleotides) under Musa acuminata (dwarf banana). Its description in RNAcentral is "long non-coding RNA (MACU_LNC004200)". Lineage: Eukaryota; Viridiplantae; Streptophyta; Magnoliopsida; Zingiberales; Musaceae. The record is from RNAcentral.